GGGGUUUGGCUCGUGAUUUCUGACCCUUUCAUGUGACUGUGUUAACCACAACAGAGAGACAUUUAAUUGCCCUUCUCGCCCAGCCUCCAAGGAGGCAAGCCUUGGUCUUUUGGACAACUCUGUGAUUCUCAAACACACGUGGCGGCAGCUGUAACCAUUUACAGAAAGACCAUCGUUGUCCAGCAAAGGGAACAGAUCUGUAAGUAAAGAGAGAGCAGCAGGUUAUGGCCUCCUUGUAGUACUAGUAGAUGAUUUGGGCAAGGUUUCUGACACAGUCUCUCACUCCACCCUGGUAUCCAAGCCGGGCAAUUACAGUCUGCAUAGGUGGCUUGCCGGAUGAGAGAAAAGCUGGCUGGGUCAUUGGACUUAAAGGGUGGUGUUCAUACCCUCCCUGGAGACCAGUUACAAGUUCCAUAUGGGUCUGUGCUGGUAUCUGUCCUGUUUUAAUGCUUUUAGCAGUGACUUAGAGGAGAAAAUGAGUGCAUCCUUCUUGGGUUUGUGGAUGACACCAAAUCAGGGUGGUGCACUCGACACAUGAGAGGGCAAGGCAGUCACCCACAAGGACCUGGACAAGCUGGAGGGAUGGGCCAGCAUGAACCUCAUGAAAUCCAGCAAGGACAAAGACAAAAGUCUUACCCCUUGGGUGGACCAACCCCUGUCAGGGCACAGGCUGGGGACUGCUUGGCAGGGGAGCGGCUCUGCAGGAUCUGGCAAAUCCAUCUGUGCUGCUGAUCUCUCAUCUCGACGCCCAUCUGCCUGAAGUUGCAGUGGCUGCUGUGAGGCUGGCGCGUUUUCAGACCAACCAGCUGACUCAGCGCCUCUUCCCUCAGGCCCUCCGGAGAGGCAUAAAAGGUACAGAGGGAAUCGCUGCUGGGGCUUGCUCAGCCUGAAGAAGAGGAGACUGAGAGGGGACCUCAUCAACACGUACAAAUAUCUU
Long non-coding RNA from Egretta garzetta (little egret), 937 nucleotides. RefSeq lists it as uncharacterized. Lineage: Eukaryota; Metazoa; Chordata; Aves; Pelecaniformes; Ardeidae. The record is from RefSeq and is a predicted model, not a curated record. The transcript has 3 exons.